CGGCAUGCCUUACACAUGCAAGUCGAACGGUAGAGGGGCAACCCUCGAGAGUGGCGAACGGGUGAGUAACGCAUCGGAACGUGCCCAGUAGUGGGGGAUAGCCCGGCGAAAGCCGGAUUAAUACCGCAUACGACCUAUGGGUGAAAGCGGGGGACCGUAAGGCCUCGCGCUAUUGGAGCGGCCGAUGUCAGAUUAGGUAGUUGGUGGGGUAAAAGCCUACCAAGCCGACGAUCUGUAGCUGGUCUGAGAGGACGACCAGCCACACUGGGACUGAGACACGGCCCAGACUCCUACGGGAGGCAGCAGUGGGGAAUUUUGGACAAUGGGCGCAAGCCUGAUCCAGCCAUGCCGCGUGCGGGAAGAAGGCCUUCGGGUUGUAAACCGCUUUUGUCAGGGAAGAAAUCUUUUGGGCUAACACCUCGGAAGGAUGACGGUACCUGAAGAAUAAGCACCGGCUAACUACGUGCCAGCAGCCGCGGUAAUACGUAGGGUGCAAGCGUUAAUCGGAAUUACUGGGC
This 518-nucleotide ribosomal RNA is filed under the name uncultured bacterium. RNAcentral describes it as "bacterial SSU rRNA". It matches the Rfam family "Bacterial small subunit ribosomal RNA", at positions 40 to 559 of the family's 1533-position model. The record is from RNAcentral.